UUGUCUUUUAAAUGAAGACCCGUAUGAAUGGCAAGACGAGGGCUUAGCUGUCUCCUUUUUCAAGUCAAUGAAAUUGAUCUUCCCGUGCAGAAGCGGGAAUUCCGACAUAAGACGAGAAGACCCUAUGGAGCUUUAGACACCAAGACAGACCACGUCAAAACUCCCUAAUAAAGGACCGAACUAAAUGGACCCUGUCCUAAUGUCUUUGGUUGGGGCGACCACGGGGAAAUACAAAACCCCCGCGUGGAAUGGGAGUACCCUUGCUCCUACAACUGAGAGCUUCCGCUCUAAUAAACAGAAUUUCUGACCAACAAGAUCCGGCAACGCCGAUCAACGAACCGAGUUACCCUAGGGAUAACAGCGCAAUCCUCUUUUAGAGCCCAUAUCGACAAGGGGGUUUACGACCUCGAUGU
RNAcentral lists this ribosomal RNA (413 nucleotides) under Sciaenops ocellatus (red drum). RNAcentral describes it as "partial 16S ribosomal RNA". It matches the Rfam family "Bacterial large subunit ribosomal RNA", at positions 1969 to 2532 of the family's 2925-position model. Lineage: Eukaryota; Metazoa; Chordata; Actinopteri; Sciaenidae. The record is from RNAcentral.